Molecule: ribosomal RNA, 533 nt
Filed under: Oprohinus suturalis
Lineage: Eukaryota; Metazoa; Arthropoda; Insecta; Coleoptera; Curculionidae
Description: partial 16S ribosomal RNA
Rfam family: Bacterial large subunit ribosomal RNA
Source: RNAcentral
AAAAACAUGGCCUAUUGAAAAUAAUUUUAGGUCUAACCUGCUCAAUGAAUUUUAAAUAGCCGCAGUACACUGACUGUGCAAAGGUAGCAUAAUCAUUAGUUUUUUAAUUGAAAGCUGGAAUGAAAGGUAGGAUGAGAAAAUUUCUGUCUCUGUAAAAAUUUCAUAGAAUUUUAUUUUUAAGUAAAAAAGCUUAAAUAAUAAUAAAAGACGAGAAGACCCUAUAGAGUUUUAUAUUUAAAUCCAGUAUUUGUUUAAGUAUUUUAAUAUUUAUUUGAUUGAUAAUAUUUGGUUGGGGUGAUUGGAAAAUUAAUUAAACUUUACUUUAAUAUAAGACAUUGAUUUGUGGAUAAAUGAUCCUUUGGUAUUAGAGAUUAUAAGAUAAAAUUACCUUAGGGAUAACAGCGUAAUUUUUUUUGAGAGAUCUUAUCGAAAGAAAAGAUUGCGACCUCGAUGUUGGAUUAAAAUAAAUUUCUGGUGUAGGAGCUAGAUUGAUUAGGUCUGUUCGACCUUUAAAAUUUUACUUGAUCUGAGUU